Ornithodoros turicata is the source of this 4437-nucleotide long non-coding RNA. RefSeq lists it as uncharacterized. The record is from RefSeq and is a predicted model, not a curated record. Lineage: Eukaryota; Metazoa; Arthropoda; Arachnida; Ixodida; Argasidae. The transcript has 2 exons.
UCCAAGCAAGGUCGCUGUAUAUCCGCGGCUCGCCGAUGUCGGUUGACCACAACGACCAAAGAGAAAGUGUAUUCGCGGGUUUGUUCAUUCUUCAGCUGCUGCUGUUCCCGUACCCGUUCCUGUUCAAUCUGGAUCGCUUAUCUUCAAAGCACCGAGAACUUGGCCAACGCAAAACCGCCCCAGUCAAGGUCGAAAAACAAUGAUGUGCCAACGCCGCCUUACGGGAGACCCGUCCUUAUAAGCAGCAUGCAACACGCCCUGGCUCUGCAGUCUCUUGGAGCGAAGUAGAGUGUUGUCUCUAAUGGUGUAUCAUUUUGUAUAGGUGAGCGAAAGAUCCAUACUUCCUUUUUUGUACACUGUACAUAAGGUAGUGCGCUCCUCGAGACUGCAAUGAGUGCUAUGGACGAAGAAAUGUGUUUCGUCUGUAUGACUACUGUAGCUGAGAAUGAGCUACGAGUGUAUUGUUCUGAGUGCAAAUGCGCAUAUCACGUUGGCACCUGUAGCGCUUUGACAAAGUCUGCAUUUAAGUCCUUCACGACCGAGCAGAAACAGGGAUGGAUAUGUACCACGUGCACAGUCAGUAAUCGUAGGUCUGCUCAGUCAAAACCAGAUGUUACGCUUCGGGAACUCCUGGAUGCAAUUCAGCAGAACGGAGUUAAAGUAGACGCCGUCUUGCAGAGGGUUACUAGCAUUGAAACUAGGCUAGAUCAGUUGGAGGAGAAAUGUAACACAAUCGUGAGCCGUACGGACACCUUGGAAAGACGAAUAGUAGACUUGGAAAAGUCAGUGAAUAACAACGAGCAAUAUAACCGUCGCUACAACUUGGAGAUCCAUGGUGUUCUUUUCAAUAAAGAUGAAGAUUUGCUCAAAAUAAUCAAUGGCAUUGCGAGUGCUAUUGAGCUCCCAAUUGCUGAUGGCAGUAACCUUGAAGCCUGUCACAGAUUGCCUGUUAAAGACGCAAGCAAGAUUCCUGUGAUACUGGUAAAGUUCAAGCAAAAAGAUCUCGUACAGGCUUGGCUACAAUCAAAGGAUAAGAUUAAGAAACUCCCCCCAAAUCCUAGCUAUCGGGACCUGUUCGUGUGCGAGAACUUAACACGUGCAAAUAAAAAUCUGCUGUGGCAGGUUAGAUCCCGAGCGAAGGAAAAAGGUUAUAUGUUUGUAUGGGUACGCAACGGCCGUAUUUACGCUAGAAAAGACACCAUGGCUAAAAAAGUGUGCAUUGAACAUGAAAACGGACUGAGAGUACUGUAGAGCAUUAUGGCGACCUUUUGCUUGCAGUAAACCGCACCUUACUUCUUUUAUUCUAUUUUUUUCUUUUCUUUUUGGGACUAAUAUGUCAAUACUAUCGUUGUGUCAAUAUCAAGAACUUGCGCAGAGUUCUAAGUUCAGCUUAGUACACGUAAAUGUGCAGAGUCUAAAUAAAAACUUUGACUUAUUAAAUACAAAUGUACUAUCAUUUUGCUCAACACCUAGUGUGAUAGCAUGCUCUGAGACUUGGCUUACAUCGGAACGAGAGCCUUUUUUUGAGAUUAAUGGAUACCACAAUCUAUAUGCAAACCGUGAUGUCUGCAGUCAUGGAGGUGUUGCCUUCUAUAUUCAGGAGUGUCUACCGUAUAAGGUGUGUGAGUCCUUGUCAUUAGAUGUUCCCAUGUGUGAAAGCCUGUUUGUUGAGCUACCUGUCACAAACGGCAUAUCGUCCUUACCCUUUAAAGACGCCCCGUUGGUUAUUGGGGUGAUUUAUAAAUCACCAGCUGCGAACAACACCUUAUUCUUGGAUGCUUUGCAUACUGUCAUGCACGUAUUGUCCUCGCGAAAAGUGAACGUGAUCCUAGUUGGCGACAUAAAUAUCGAUGUAUUACGAAACAACGCUACCGCAAACCUCUAUUUGGAAUGCAUUUCCUGUUACGGCUUUGAACAAUUGAUUAAAAUACCCACGAGGUAUAAUGAGCGCGGAACAGCAACGUUGCUGGAUCACAUUGUAACCAACAUUGUAGCUGACAAUGUAUUUUCGGGUGUUGUUGCGGCCAACAUUGCAGAUCACGAGAUGGUUUUCAUGUGUACUAAGGCAAACUCAGUAGUACUUCCGAGUUCUACGUCGAAGCAAGUGACCGAUUACUUAGUUCUGGAGCAAUCUCUACAGAAUCUAAAGUGGGACUUUAUAUAUGAAAACGUUCCAGUAAAUGAGAAGUUUGAACAAUUUAUCAACAUAAUUAACAACGAAAUUACGUGUGCCACUACUUCACACACGAUAAGUAGAAGAGGCCAAAUAAGAAAGCCCUGGGUUACCAAAGCCCUUCUAAGGAGUAUCAAACGUAAGAACAAUCUUUAUAAAAAAGUGCGCAUGAAUCCACAUAAUUCUUUAUUACGGGAACGAUUUGCAAGGUACAGCAAUACAUUACGAUCGUUAUUACGUGCAGCGAAAAUAUCCUAUUAUCACGAUCGCAUAUACAAGGCACGUGGGGAUGUGCGCAAGACAUGGAAAACGAUUAACCACGCGUUAGGCAGGAGGAGGGCAAAAUAUAAUGUCAUCGUCAUGAAAGAUGACGCAGGUAAUCUUAUCGCGUCGAAAGAAAAAAUUGCGCAAGAGUUUAACAAAUAUUUUCUAUCUGUAGGUGUCGAUAACACACCUUCGCAGCCUACUGACACUUUAGACCUACAGCGAAAUCCUGAAUCUUUCUUUCUGACUCCUGUCACACCUGGCGAAGUAGAAUCAGUAAUUCUGAACUUAAAAAAUACUUAUACUGUGGGUCACGACGGUAUACCGGUUCAAAUCUUGAAAAGAUUCCACCGCCUAUUUUCAGCCCCGUUGGCACACCUGACUAACCUGAUUUUCUCUGAGGGUAGCUUUCCAGAAAGACUCAAAUUAGCCAAAGUCGUACCAAUAUAUAAAAAAGGCGACCAACUUUCUUUUAAAAAUUAUCGUCCAAUCUCAAUAUUAUCCGUAUUUAGUAAAGUGAUUGAAAAAUUACUUUGUACAAGAUUACAAAAAUUUUUUGAGGAGAAGAAAUUGCUAUCUUCCCAUCAAUACGGAUUUCAAAAGAGAAAAUCGACGGAACUUGCCUUAGUAGAUAUCGUGGAAAAAAUAAAAAGAAACAUAGAUAACAAGCUUCUAACCCUGGGCUUGUUCGUAGAUUUGUCAAAAGCAUUUGACAUUGUUGACCACGAGACCCUGUUGACGAAAUUGGAAAGCUAUGGCAUACGCGGCUGUACUCUACAACUUUUUAGGAGCUACCUGUCCGAAAGAAAACAGUACGUAACACUAGGAUCACAUCAGUCCUCUCAAUGUCCCAUGUCCUGCGGAAUACCACAAGGGUCAAUUCUAGGCCCUUUCCUGUUUCUUAUAUAUGUCAAUGAGCUACCGUCUUUCUUAUCAGUAACCACCGCUCUUUAUGCCGAUGAUAUUAAUGUUUUCGUGGAAAGUACAAGCCUGGAUGCUCUAUAUAGCAAAGCGAAUGAAGUGGCACAGCGAUUGAGUCUAUGGCUUUGUAUAAACAAAUUAAGACCUAACCUUGAUAAGUCUUGCUACAUUAUUUUCCACCCUAAACAAAGAGUGCUAGACACAAGUAACUUAGAAUUACGUUUCAGGGAUAUCGAACUUAAAAAUGCUGAAAAUGUAAAGUUUCUCGGGCUACACAUCGACUCUCACUUGUCAUGGCGAUUUCAUAUUGAGCAUGUCAGAAAGAAAGUCACAAGUGGAUUAUACGCGUUAUCACGACUAAAAUUUAUCCUGCCAAUACACAGCCUACUAAUAAUUUAUUAUUCCUUAUUUCAUAGCCACAUCUCGUAUGCAUUAGAAGUUUACGGGUUGACAUAUGAAUCCCGACUCAGUGAUCUCUAUGUCCUGCAGAAAAGAGCGCUACGUAUAAUGCUACAAAUACCACUCCAUGACACUGUUACAUUUGCAUUUUCCUUAUUGCAUAUUUGGCCGUUUUUCGUGCUUAUCAAGUAUAAGUGCUUGAUACUCUUGUAUAAAAUAAUCAAUAAUCUUGUGAAUUCCUGUUUAACAACUCCUCAUUUUAGCACAAGUGUUUACGACCGUCGAGCUGAUGAUUUUAUGUUGAGUUUGCCAUAUCCUCGUACUGACUUUGGGAUGUUUUCGUUUUGCUAUUCUUCCGGUAAGUACUGGAAUAGUCUUCCUGUUGUUAUACGCAAUGCUCCCUCGCUUUAUGCCUUUAAAAAGAGGCUCUCGUCUUUUUUUCAGUGAUCACUGUGCUUAAGCUGAAGUAUCUUGUUACGAUACUCUCCCCCUACUCUAAAUUAAUCCGUUACUUUGUUUUUUAUACACAUUGACUGCAUGUAUAUGACAUUGCAUAUUCUUUUUCUCUAAGUAUUCAUGUAUACAGAACCACAUCACAGGCUUGCCUAGUGGUACUGUUAAUUACAUAGUUUUUUGUAUAAAUGAUGACAGAAAGAAAAAAUAAAAAAGUCUGAAGUCUG